RNAcentral lists this transfer RNA (78 nucleotides) under Streptomyces chryseus. Its description in RNAcentral is "tRNA-Met". It matches the Rfam family "tRNA". From Rfam's summary of the family: Transfer RNA (tRNA) molecules are approximately 80 nucleotides in length. Their secondary structure includes four short double-helical elements and three loops (D, anti-codon, and T loops). The record is from RNAcentral. Lineage: Bacteria; Bacillati; Actinomycetota; Actinomycetes; Kitasatosporales; Streptomycetaceae.
UGGGGUUCGUAGCGCAGUGGUUGUCGCGCCUUCACCGCAUGUGGGAGGACGCCGGUUCGAAUCCGGCCAGCCUCAUCC